GUAGGUGAACCUGCGGAAGGAUCAUUAUCGUUGGGCUUAUGCCCCUCGAGAUAGCACCCUUUGGCUAUUAGUACCUAAUGUUUCCUCAGCAAGGCGCCUUGCUAAUGGGGACCCUAUAAACCCUUUUGUAGUAGCUAUACACAUUGAAUACUCAAUAUUUUACAACUUUCAACAACGGAUCUCUUGGCUCUG
RNAcentral lists this unclassified non-coding RNA (192 nucleotides) under rhizosphere metagenome. RNAcentral's name for it is "partial ribosomal RNA internal transcribed spacer region". The record is from RNAcentral.